This 77-nucleotide transfer RNA is filed under the name Helicobacter sp. Its description in RNAcentral is "tRNA-Arg". It matches the Rfam family "tRNA". From Rfam's summary of the family: Transfer RNA (tRNA) molecules are approximately 80 nucleotides in length. The record is from RNAcentral. Lineage: Bacteria; Pseudomonadati; Campylobacterota; Epsilonproteobacteria; Campylobacterales; Helicobacteraceae.
GCGCUCGUAGCUCAGCAGGAUAGAGCAACGGCCUUCUAAGCCGUAGGUCGCAGGUUCGAAUCCUGCCGGGCGUACCA